GAUGAACGCUGGCGGCGUGCCUAAUACAUGCAAGUCGAGCGAACAGACGAGGAGCUUGCUCCUCUGACGUUAGCGGCGGACGGGUGAGUAACACGUGGAUAACCUACCUAUCAGACUGGGAUAACUUCGGGAAACCGGAGCUAAUACCGGAUAAUAUAUUGAACCGCAUGGUUCAAUAGUGAAAGACGGUUUUGCUGUCACUUAUAGAUGGAUCCGCGCCGCAUUAGCUAGUUGGGAAGUUAACGGGUUACCAAGGCAACGAUGCGUAGCCGACCUGAGAGGGUGAUCGGCCACACUGGAAGUGAGACACGGUCCAGACUCCUACGGGAGGCAGCAGUAUGGAAUCUUCCGCAAUGGGCGAAAGCUUUACGGAGCAACGCCGCGUGAGUGAUGAAGGUCUUCGGAUCGUAAAACUCUGUUAUUAGGUAAGAACAAAUGUGUAAGUAACUAUGCACGUCGUGACGGUACCUAAUCAGAAAGCCACGGCUAACUACGUG
RNAcentral lists this ribosomal RNA (497 nucleotides) under uncultured bacterium. Its description in RNAcentral is "partial 16S ribosomal RNA". It matches the Rfam family "Bacterial small subunit ribosomal RNA", at positions 28 to 507 of the family's 1533-position model. The record is from RNAcentral.